AUUGUAUUUAAAAUCAAUAUCUUAUUAUAUGAGUUGAACGCUUACUCCUGUUCAUCUAUUUUUCCCUAGGUGACAGAAGGGCUCUUUGAAAUUAAUCUGCUUUAUUUUUCGCAGGUUUACCAGAAGUAGUUUCAUUGCGUUUUAUUUCCUUAUUUUAUAUUCUAGAACUCCGUAUGUACCAGUAGUGUAUUAGACUUUUAUAAAAUUAUAAUAACUUAUUCAGCUGGA
This 228-nucleotide unclassified non-coding RNA is filed under the name Hevea brasiliensis (rubber tree). The record is from RNAcentral. Lineage: Eukaryota; Viridiplantae; Streptophyta; Magnoliopsida; Malpighiales; Euphorbiaceae.